ACGGGCCUCGACUGUUUACCAAAAACAUAGCCCUCGGCUAAUAUGAAAAUAGAUGUAUAGAGGGUGAUGCCUGCCCAAUGGUUGUAUCUAASAGCGGUUGAUAAAAGUCGACCUCGUAAGGACAAUUGAAUGGCCGCGGUAACACUGACCGUGAUAAUGUAGCGUAAUCAAUAGCCAAUUAAUUGUUGGCCAGUAUGAAUGGCGCCACGAAGGCCCCACUGUCUUAAGGAAAUUCCCAGUGAAAUUGAAUUCGUAGUGAAGAUGCUACGUCCAAUUUGUUAGACGAAAAGACCCCGUUGAGCUUUACUGGAGCACUUAUAUGGCCCCGGCCUUCCCAUGCCUGGGAACCGGCCGAAUUUAAAUGGGCGGCUUAGAUUAUGUGGCAGCCCCCCGCUGGGGCAAAUGAAACACCACUCCCCCAUGUCAAAGGGGCUAACCCCCCCCUUGGGGGGGACAGUGUAAGUAGGACAGUUUGGUUGGGGCGACCGCCUUUUAAAAAGUAACGAAGGUGCGCUUAAGGUGUGCAAUUAAUGACUGAAGCCUGACUGCGAGGGGGGUACCCCGAGCAGACACCCCUAAGCCCGCCCGAAGGGCGGCGGUGGGGUGGGCCAUAGUGACCCGUUAAUUUAGAGUGGAAUAGUUAACGAUCAACGAAUAAAAGUUACCACGGGGAUAACAGCGUAAUAUCGUUAGAGAGUU
RNAcentral lists this ribosomal RNA (699 nucleotides) under Zoanthus vietnamensis. RNAcentral describes it as "partial 16S ribosomal RNA". It matches the Rfam family "Bacterial large subunit ribosomal RNA", at positions 1783 to 2500 of the family's 2925-position model. Lineage: Eukaryota; Metazoa; Cnidaria; Anthozoa; Zoantharia; Zoanthidae. The record is from RNAcentral.